This 10634-nucleotide long non-coding RNA is filed under the name Phaseolus vulgaris (common bean). Its description in RNAcentral is "long non-coding RNA (PVUL_LNC004766)". The record is from RNAcentral. Lineage: Eukaryota; Viridiplantae; Streptophyta; Magnoliopsida; Fabales; Fabaceae.
AGAUGAUUUAGAAAAUAAAGUAUAAGUAUUCAAGCACAAAAGCUAAACUAAACUAAAGAAAAAAUCAGAGUUAAGAGGAGUGAACAUCAUUGAAUAGAUUCACAUAUCGAUUCUAGUUUCGAGUUUUGGAUAAAAUAAAUAAAUUAAAAAGUUGAAGGUAAGUAUAGGACGUUAUCUUCGUAUAUUAGUUUGGUUGGUUUAGAAAUUGCAAAUCAAGAUGGCAAAAAUACUACAGUAACCGUUUGUGACUUCUGAUAAUAGGGAGCAGAUUUGUAGGUACAAAGUUAAGCUAUAACAUGUGAUAUGGUUCAGAUCCAUGACCGACUAAAAGAAAGACUUGAUUUAUGGUGAGAUGAACACAAUUUUAGUAAAUGAAAAGAAAUCCUGUUUAUCUCGAAAUUAUCUAAUAAAUAUAAUGACCUGGUGACUUUUGAAUCCCAGCCUGAAAGUCCAGCAGCUUCGGUGAGAGCAUCCUUCCAUCCUUGCGCUUUGACCAUGUCGUGCAUAAACCGCUGUUCAUGAUCAUCGAAUGAUUCUUUGUAUCUUUCUUCCUGCUUCCUAAUAGUUGAUGGAUCCACCUUGUAGAAAACAGGUAUCACAUCCCUUCCAAAUCUCUUCUUGCAUUCAAGUAUCUUACUGAGUUCAUUCAAGCACCAAGUGGAAGAUGCAUAGUUUUGGGAGAAAACGAUGACAUAAAUCUUUGAUUCUUCUAUUGCAGAGAGCAGUGCAGGUGAAAUUUCUUCGCCCCUGAGUAGUCUAUAAUCAAUAUAUGCUUCAAUGUUCUUCCUUUGCAGUGCUGCAUAAAGGUGGCUAAUGAAGUUGUCACGUGUGUCUUCGCCUCUGAAGCUGAGAAACACAUCAUGCCUUGUUAGAGAAGUAGACACGGCCAAUGAUGAAGGACUUUCUGACAUUGGAGUCAAUUUUCUCUCCUUUCUCUGCAAUUCUCAGGUCUCUUUCUUUGUACUGUUUCUACCACAAAUCUACUCUGCUGCUCUGGACUCAUUAUAAAACACAAGUCAACUUUUGAAAAAGUCUUUCAAUUUUCUUAACAUUCCUUUCACAGAUAUGUGUUCUGGUCAGACAUCGUAGUCAGCAGAAACUAAAGAAAAAGAAAAAUAUUAAUUUAAUAGAAUAGUCAACAAAUUGCAAAAUAAGUAUGGAAUCUAGAUUUAUAUCAUUAUCACGUGUGGAAACAUAGCUACGUCUUCUUAGAUAAAAUCCUUAUUUAAGUUUUAAUUGGGCCUUGUAGUGGGCUUUGUAAUCUGCUUUUCUUUUCUCCUAUAUUGCUUUAUAUAUACACCUCCACUUUUGCUUUCUACAUUUCAUUUUACAAAAUACAUUCUCUCAUUCUGUGUCAUUUAUCUUGCCUGAUUCCGUCCUCUCUUUAUCUUUUUCUCUCAUCCUCUUGCUUAUAAUUCUUUUGUUUUUAUUAAGAAAUACACUAUAAUUCUAAUUUAAUCAUAUACUAUAAUUAUGCUAAUCAUCAAUUAGUACUAUAUAUUAUUAAUGAUCUGCGUAUAUAUUAUUUAUGAUUUGCGGAUAAGACAAUAGAUUCAAUAAAUUCUAGAUAAAAUAAAUUUUAAAUGAAUAUGAUAAAAAUAUAUUAAAAAAUGAACUUUAUUGAAUCGAUUGAGUAUCUCUAUUUUAAAGACUUGUAAGAAUAAUAGGAAUAACAAUAUAUUAAUAUUAAUAUGUUUCUUAAUAAAUUUCAUACCCACUAUCUAUUUAUAAAUUAAUAUAUUAUAAAUAUCUAAUGAUGUCUUAUUUCUCUAACAUUUAAAAUUAAAUUUGUAGAUUCUACAAAACAUUACAUUUUGAUUUUAAUAUUUAUAAAAUAUUUUUUAUUCUCAUAUUUAAAAAACAAAACUUAGUUUGAGUGUAUUCCUUAGUUACUUACUACUCAUCACCAGCCGCCAACAGCGUGAUGGCUUCACUCUCCGUUCGCGCCACAACCACCUCUUAUCGGGCCUCCUUCCGGCCCAAGCCCACCUCGGGGCCCACCAGGGUCCGAAUGUCCCUCCGCGAUGACGGCCCCGCCAUCGCCGUCGUCGGCGUCACCGGCGCCGUUGGCGAGGAGUUCCUCUCCGACCGCGACUUCCCCUACCGUUCCAUCAAAAUGCUGGCCUCGCAGCUCUCCGCCGGCCGCCGCAUCAUCUUCGAGGACAGGGACUACGUCGUGGAGGAGCUCACAGCGGAUAGCUUCGACGGCGUCGACAUUGCGCUCUUUAGCGCCGGCGGUGGUAGACUAUAGCUCCGCAUUUGGGAUGGACGAGAAGGUGACGCUGGUUAUUCCCGAAGUGAAGCCCCAAACGAUGCAACACAUCAAAGUUGGAACGGGAAAAGGCGCUCUGAUUGCGAACCCUAAUUGCUCCACCAUUAUUUGCUUGAUGGACAUACUAAUUAAUAUCAAUUAUAACAAAUAAUGAACGUUUCUGGUCAUUUCUUGUACUUCGCGUUAUUUCAUAACAGUAGUUUUUUUAAAUAAAUUAAGAAAAAUAUUCAUUUUUAAAUUUAAUGCACUUUUAAAUAAUUUGACUAUUAUAAACAUAAUCACUUAUAAAAAUAAUUUUAGAGUAGUUGAUAUAAUUAAAAUAAAAUAUUUUAUUAUUAAAGUAAAAAUUAUAUAUAAAUAAAAAAUAGGUUUUAUUUUAAAAUAAUAUUCAAUUUUAUAAAAGUUUUUUCUUUUUGUCUUUUUUUUUUUAUAUUUCUAACCAUAUUUUUUCGUGAGGUUGAUAAUAGAAUCUCACUUUGGAUUUAUGGGAAUGAAUAAUGAAUUAGUUUUUAGUUUUCUAUUUAUCUAUAUAUAAAGGUGAUACGGUGACAAAUUCCAAAAUUUUAUUAUAAUGUUUGCUUUGUUGAUUGAAAUAGAUGUUAAUUGAUGAAAAAGAUUGAAAGUUUUAAACCCAAUACACCCCUCACGUCGAGGUUAGGUGGACUGAUAAGUUCAGCAAAAUCUCGUUAUGAUAGUUUUUAGAUGACUCUGAUACCACAAUAAAAAAUAAACUUUAAAUUUAACUCAACCUUACAAAACUAAUUUAUAAAGUGAGCUAUGUAUCCCUAGUCGAUGUAGAAUCUCUAACAAUGAUUUAAAUGAAUUGUUAUAUGCUUUAUGAAGUUUAACCUUUAUUUUUACUUGACAAAUUGGAUUUUAAUGAGGUAUAUAUGCUCUCAGCAUCAAAUCCGCUUAACGAAAUUUAUAUGUGUCAAGCGAAUUUGGACAUGUAGAGUUUGAUGUGCUCUUGGCCUCAAAUCCGCUCAAUGUUUUUUUUUCCUGUACUUAAGCAAACUUACAUCCAGAUUUUGGAGUACUUUCGAACUCAAAUUUGCUCAAAGAAAUUUUCUUAUGGUAAGCAAAUUUAAGCGGCUAUUGUUUGGAUGUUCUCUGCCUCAAAUUCGUUCAGUGAAAUUUUCCUGUGCUAAGGAGAUUUCUCUGGGCUUAAGCCCCAACUUCAUGGGCUCGACCCAUUUUGACGACAUUUGUCAUCUUUGCUUAGAUAUCUUUUGGUUUGUUUUCUAUAGGUCAUGAAAUUGAAUUAAAUCUUUUGAAAUUUAUCAUUUUGUAAAUUGUAAGUGAUUACAACUUUCUAAUGUUCAUGCAACAUGUGUUUAAAAUAAGUAAAUCUAACAAAUAAAUACUCGUUACAUAUUCAAUGGAAAGCUUUUUCUUUUAAUUCUUUGGUGUUUUAUUUUGAUGAUGUAUAUAUUUGAAAAUCAAUGUAUGAAUGGAUAAUGCUUUAUGAUAUAAUAAUAUUACAAUGUAAAUGUUAUUUAUAUACUAUCACAUGAUAAAUUAAAAUUUAAUAAGAUAGUUAAGGAUGUUAUAAUUAUUCUUUUAAUUUAUUUUAUUUCACUGUAUAUUUAGGUGUAUUACGUAGAAUGUAUAGUUAAAAAAAUAAUGUUAUUUUGAAAUUUAAAGAAUGACGUAUAGAAAUAAACAAGCUUUUGUUAAAAUUAUACUAUUUGAAAAGGAACACAGAACAAUAUUGACAAUUAUACUUUUACUUAUUACUUAUUUUAAUUUAUUAUAUUCAUGAGUAUUAUUUUUUUUAAACAUAGAUAUUGGAUAAAAAAUAUAAAUAACAUUUAUUUAUUUCAAAUUUAAAAAUCUUUAAAAUAAAAUUAAAUAAUAUUUUUAAUUAAGAUGUGUUUUUUAACAAUUUUUUUAAUUUAAAAAAUAAUUAAUUCGGAGGAUGAUUAAAGAAAUAUUAACAAAUUAUUUCUGCGUUUAUAAUAAACCUUCAAUAAUAUUUGUACUUUCUAGCAUAUAGAAUACUUAAUGGAUCCCUUUGUGAUUUUUCUUUUCUAAAGUGCAAUUGAUAUUUUAAAUGUUUUUCUAUUUAAUUUUCCUUUCUUAAUGACACAUUAAAGGGUUCAGUGCACGAUUAAUUAUUCUCACCUUAGAUUUCAUUCAUCUCAUUCCAUUUCCACACUCAAAUCAUUCUCACAUUUUUUUCUACCUAUUUCACAAAGUUUUAUGUAAAAUAUGGAAAUUAAACUAAAAGAACCCUACUUAUAUAUUAAUAUUCAACAACUUAAAAUAUUACUAUGCAAAUUAAUCUUUCUUAAUAAUGUUAUGUAAAAAUUAAAAUGUAGUUUAGUCAUUCAUACUUAGAUGGAUAAAGAUGGUUUUAGAAAAAAAAUGCAUUUUAUUUCAAAUCUAUUACUUAUAAAAUGAGUUAUAAAAUGAGGUUUGUGAUAUUUAUUCAAAAUUUAAAUUAUAUUAUGCAUUUAUGGUUUUAUGUUUUUAAAGAAAUCAGAAACUUAGAAAAGCUCCUAAAAACUACUGAAAUCCAUAAGAUGAUAAUUAAUAAACAUCCUCUCUUAAUAACAUAACAUAUAAGAUAGGAGUCUUUACACUUAUAUUCUUCAAACAAUUAUAAGCUGUCUUCAACUUUACUGUUAAACUACAAUUAUAAAGAAUUAACAAUCUCACACACCAACAACAUUUAUAAGCCAUCACUCACAUGAAACAAGGUGCCUCAAUGUGAAAAAACCAAGAUCAAUAAGAAAUGAGGUUCCACUUAACCAAGCUGAGAAUUUUCUGGUUUUCCAACUCCAUGCACAAACCUAAUACAAUGAUAUGAUAUUCAAUCAGCAUUAAUUGGCAUAAACAGGUACAUUGUUGUAAAACUGGGAUUAUAAGGUUCCAUAGGAUGGAGAAAAGUAAGAAGAGGAUUUACCAAUUACCCUUUCAAAUGGAGCUCCUCAGGAUUUCAUAAUGCCUUCACUGCAAAUGCAACCCAAAUAUGCUAAAAAAGUUAAUGAAACUAUAUAUGAAGAGUUUCAAGAAAAUGCAACUCUGGGACAACAGAGAAACCCAUCUCAUGCUGAACAGAAACAUCAAACUAUAUCUAACAAUAACUUAGAAAUCUUUGUCAACAAUUGAACGAACCCACUCCUAAAAUGCCAUUGAAAAUGUAAAUAAAACAAAAUAAAUUAAAAACGAGAAAUUCAUAAUAAAAAUUCAACGUGUUGAAACUUAUGAUAACUCAGUUUAGAUCCUGACCAAUGAAAGACUAAUUAGCAGAAGAGGAAGAGACUAGUUGACAGGGUAGCUUUCGGCCUUUCUCUUCCUAUCUUUCCUUGUUUCUCUUGAAGACUGUGCAACAUUGCUUCCACUGGAUUCUUCAAUGUCAACAUCACCACCAUAUUUAUCAUCUUUCUUUUUGGUAUAAAGGGGGCAUAUGCCGCAUUCUUUUAUUGUGAUGUCUGAUGCCAUCACUCUCACACCUGAUUUGUAACUAUACAGACUGAUCUCAAAAGUGAAGCUGCGAGCAUCACAGACCCUAAGGCUCUUGCGGCUCGCCGUUAGGGACUCCAUGUUAAAUUUCCACACGAAUGUGUGAUCUUCAUCAACACAUCUGUGUUCACCAUUCCAUUUGAAAUAGCUGUUUAACACAUCAUUAUUUAGAAUGAUCUGUGUGCCAUCAUCAUCAUCAGAUUCAAAUUUUAGACUGUAACCAAAAGAACCAUAUCUACAUUUAACAGCUUUCGUAUCUAACACUCCAAAAACCACACACAAAGCGAAACCAGUGAGCCUAUCAUCGCUGCAGAAACUUAAAUCUUCAUUUAUAGUCACUGAAUGUCCCUUCCCACGAGAAUGGAACCAACGAGGAACUGCAUUCCCUGGAAAACAGAAGAACACAGACCUAUAUGCAUCGUCGGUCAUCCUAACCCAUGCAUCCUCCUCAAUGUUAGCACGAGCACCUGAAUCCAGUUGCUGAGCAUUGGUGAAAUGAAAUUUGAAGACACCCUCUUUGGAGUUUGAGAAGUUUGGAACAAGAGAAUUUGACAUCACUCUUCUGAUGGAUGGGCAAUCCAAUGCCACGAGUUGUUUUAGAAAUGGUGGAAUCUGUGGGAUGGAUUCAAGUUUUUUGCAGUCGCUUAAAUCGAGCGAGUUCAAGCUUGAAAGAUGAGCAAUGCUCUCAGGAAGGUUCACGAUUCCGCUAUCACGCAGUGACAGUUCCAUUAAUGACGUCAAGCGACCGAUGUGGCUUGGGAUUUCUGUUAAUUUGGCACACCCCGAACAAUCAAGUUUAGAGAGAAGCUUCAGAUUAACAAUGGAGUUUGGAAGUGACUCGAGAUGAAUGCACUCUUGGAGUUCCAGGGAUCGAAGAUUAACGAAAUUGCCAAAUGAGGAAGGCAGUUCUUUAACAGCCGUAGAUGUUAAGUUAAUGUGAGCAAAAGUAUGAGCCGGCUCCGCGAUCUCUGGGAAGGUCCUCAGCCUUGAGCAACCACGCAAAUCAAGGUUCCUCAACUUCAAAUUGAAAAUGGUGCUUGGAAAAGUUUGAAGUGAAUUACAGUGGGUAAGGUCUAACUUGCAUAGUCUGGUGAGGGUUCCAAUGGAAGAUGGAAUAAUCUCAAGAUUCAAGCAACUGCGCAAACUCAGUCCUUGAAGCCCUACCAAACGGCACAAGGAUGAAGGUAGUGCCUGUAUGGCUGUGCCGUCUAAGAUGAGCACCACUAGAUCUUCCAACGUGUCCUGAAUCUCGGGUAAAUUUUCCAAUUUUGAGCAACCACUGAGAGAAAGUUUCUUUAUGAAUUUCAUAUCAGAAAGGUGAAAUGGAAAGAUUGUAAGGGAAGAACAGUGAGAGAGAUCUAAGUAACAGAGCUUCUUGCGAUUAAAGUUGAAGUGACAGAGCUUCAUGAGUUUUGUGAACACUUUAAAACAUAUAGUAUCAUUAGCCACUUCUUCUUCCUUAUAUCUGUCAAAAGUAAUUGAGAAAAUUUCACUGGAAGUUGGGAAAAAAGGACCACGGUGUCGACGUUUACCACGCCGUCCUGAGAAAUUCGUCAUAUCCGGUUCCUGACGAGGGAAUAUUGAGAAAGUUUGAAGUUGACGCUCCAGUAUCACAUGAGGGAAUCUGGGUUUACUGAUCGAAAACAUAUUAAGCUUCGGACAACGGGAAAGAGUAAUCCAUCCUGGUGAUGUGGAUAAAAUGUUGCUGGGAAUAUUUACACUAUUCAGAUCAUUACAAUCAUCUAAACAUAAACAACUGAGCUUGUUGAGGAAUAUCCAAGAGUGAACUUCAAUCAACUUUUCACAACUUUUCAGAAUUAUUUCUUCAAUAUUUGGUGACAUAGAAAGGUCUGGUAUUCUAGUAAGUUUCCGAGAAUAACUCAGGUCGAGCCUUUUCAAGUUGGGUAAAUUCUGCCACAAAUAGGAAAUGAAUGAGGUAACAAAUAAAAACUACUUUAUCUAUUUUUCUUCGGUAAAAUAUUAGCUACAUCAUCUAAUCUAUUCACUUUAUAUUUUACAUUACUUCAAAACCACUGUUAAAAAAAAUCACACUGUCAACUAACAAAACUGUGGCUAUAAAUUUAAUAGUUAUUAUAAAAAACCACAAAAUUUAACGUGUUUUUGUUCCCUACCUCAAAUUACAUCCUAAUAAUUUGAACCUAAACUUAUUAUGUAUUUAAAAACUGAUGAUAGUAAUUUAUAAUCGAUGACAGUGUGGAAAUACUUUAUAUCAUGCAUGUAUCAACUGACAAAAUAAAAUGGUGUUGUCUGAUGAUAGUAAUUUAUAAUCGAUGACCAUCUUUCCAUAAUUUAUUUUAUUAAAUACAUAAUUUGUUGUAUAUUAUAUUGAAGUUUAUGUUAUAAUAAUAAAAAAAUACUUAAUUAGGUUUUGAGUAUCCAGUAAGACAUUUUUAAUUAAUUUUUUUAUUAAAUUUUUUAAUUAUUUAAGUACUCAAAUUUUUUAUAUUUCCAAUAGAAUAUAUGUCAUUUUUAAUUUUUGAGUUAAUUGGGUGAUACAGAAAUUAUCUUGUCACAUGAUCUUACUUACUUGUCUUUAUGUAUUAAGGAAUAUGAAGUUUUAUGAUUGGCCAUUAGACUAUAUACCUAAAAAGAGGAUGCAAACUCUUCUACAUGCUACUAAAUUUAUAACUAUCUUUAAUUAGAAACAUGCUGAGUAUGAUUCUUAUGAUAUAUGUAUAACUGUGUGGUUCAAAUAAAAGAAAUUUCAAAUCGAAUAAUGUGGAGAAGCACAAAGGAAUUGCAAAUGAAAACCAGUAGAUGUAUAAUACAGAAAACAUGCUUGUAUAACUUAUUUUUGUCUUUGAAAGUUUAGAACACAAAGAAACAUAGAUAGCUUGAAAAACCUGAUCUCCUUCCCAGAGUUGUUCAAGAUGGCAGUAUGGCAUUUCGAGGGUCACUAGAUUUUGCGGGCAAAAGUUUGGAGGCAAAGAUCUUUGAGGGAAAUGUUUCCAAUAAAGAAUCUUUAGAGUGUCUGGCAGACCUACAAUAGAUGAUUCAAGAGACACAUUUGACGUGUAUUUUGGCGUGUUGAGCAUAAGCAUCCUAAGAUUGUCCAUCUUUUCGAAACUUUGUGCAUGUACUACAACUUCAUUUACUUUGCUCGUAUCUAGUGAUAUACACUGUAUUGCAUCUAACCCCUGAAAGUAAAUCAAUGUAAUUAGAAAAAAAAAGCAUGAAAUGUUGCUGUAUGGUUAUGGGCAGAUUGAUGAGAUAUGGUAACCUUCGGAUACUGAUCAUGAAGUGACAUAAAGGAGAAGGAAGCGUUACUGAAGGAGAGUAAUGGAAAUUUAUGAGAAAUUAAGCCGUUGGUUACAGAGACUAGGUAGGGACCGAGUCAUCUAUACCAGGGACCGAGUCAUCUAUAAGAGGAGGCAGAGACGAAGAGUAGGGGUAGGAAAAAAAGAUAUGGUUUUUAUAUUAUCUUUGAUGCUCUAGCUAAGGAUCAUCUGUCCUAAAACAGUUGCAUUUCUGGAUGUUUAAUGACAGCUCAAUAGUUUGCAGUUUUUUCACAAAGUAACAACAGAAUAUACCUUGUUUUUUCUUAAAACAUCACAAAUUUCCUCAGCAUUAAACAGUCGGCUGCGUUUUCCAGGAUGCCGACGACACUCUUUACGAACAAUUUCUUGACCCAUUUCUUGUAUUAGAUCGUGCAUCAUAAUAAUACCAUUAAAGACAGAUAUUAGGCACCUAUCUUUGAGAACAUCCAUUACAAUCUUAGUAGAGAAACCAUUGCAGUCAUCAAGUAUUUCUGCCAGCACAAUCUCCUGGUAUCCUCUAUAAAAGCAAGCAAUGUCAAGAAAUAUAUUCUUCUCCACCUCCUCGAGCCCAUCAUAACUUAAUUUUAAUACAUUGAAAAUACCAUGAUGUUGGCCCUUUUUCAACUUUUGCAACUGACUUUCCCAUGCUUCUUUUGUUCUGUCACAAAGCAAUGAGCCCAAAAUCUGGAGAGCUAACGGAAUCCCUUUUGCAUAACUCAACACCUUUCCUGACAGUUCCUUGUAAGCAAUUUCUUCUGAAGAUUUUUGUUUAAAAGCAUGUAAACUAAAAAGUCUUAGAGAAUCAUCAGAAUUCAACUCCUUAACUUCGUAGAUAUCAUCAGCUCUAGCAUUCUUAAGCACUUGUCUGUCUCUACUGGUCAUAAUGAUUCUACUGCCCUGCCUAAAACUAUCACUCCAUCCUAUUAAUUUUUGAAGUUGAGCUGAAUCGGUAACAUCAUCAAGAAUGAGGAGAGCCUUUGUCCGUUUGAGCCUUUCUUUGUAAUAUGGUAAAGAAGAAGAUUUCUCUUCCUUUAGAAGCUCAGACAGAUAUUUUGUUCUGAUACUAUCUAUUCCAUCUCUUUGUAUUUUUUCUUGAACGUCUAAAACAAGGCUGCUGGAAUCAAACUGCAAUGCCAAUUUCUGAUAUAUUUGAUCACAAAUUGUACUUUUUCCUAUUCCUCCCAUGCCCCAAAUUCCUAUGAUCCGAACAUCCGGUGACUCAGGAUGCAACAAGGACUGAAUUCCUUCAAUAUGUUUUUGAAUGCCGAUGAUUCCUUGAUCAUAACUGGUGGAAUAAAGAUUCAAUUUUCCCAAAAUAUCUUCCACAAUUUUUUCAACAAGUUUGUGGUCAUUCCUGGCAGAUGAUUUAGAAAAUAAAGUAUAAGAAUUCAAGCACAAAAGCUAAACUAAACUAAAGAAAAAUUCAGAGUCAAGAGGAGUGAACAUCAUUGAAUAGAUUCACAUAUCGAUUCUAGUUUCGAGUUCUGGAUAAAAUAAAUAAAUUAAAAAGUUGAAGGUAAGUUUAGGACGUUAUCUUCCUAUAUUAGUUUGGUUGGUUUAGUAAUUGCAAAUCAAGAUCGCAGAAAUUCUACAGUAACCGUAUGUGACUUCUGAUA